RNAcentral lists this ribosomal RNA (249 nucleotides) under uncultured bacterium. RNAcentral describes it as "partial 16S ribosomal RNA". It matches the Rfam family "Bacterial small subunit ribosomal RNA", at positions 773 to 1029 of the family's 1533-position model. The record is from RNAcentral.
GUGGAUUAGAUACCCUGGUAGUCCACGCCGUAAACGAUGGAUACUAGCUGUUCGGAGCAAUCUGAGUGGCUAAGCGAAAGUGAUAAGUAGCCCACCUGGGGAGUACGCACGCAAGUGUGAAACUCAAAGGAAUUGACGGGGGCCCGCACAAGCGGUGGAGCAUGUGGUUUAAUUCGAUGAUACGCGAGGAACCUUACCAGGGCUUAAAUGGGAGUGGACAGCUUAGGAAACUAGGCCUUCUUCGGACCA